AGAGAGAGACAUGCGCGCAUAUCAAUAAGCGGAGGAAAAGAAACUAACAAGGAUUCCCCUAGUAACGGCGAGUGAAGCGGGAAGAGCUCAAAUUUGAAAUCUUAAAGGGUUUCCCUUUACGAAUUGUAGUUUAAAGAAGUGUUUUCUGUUGAGGUUUUGGUAAAAGUUCUUUGGAAUAGGACAUCAUAGAGGGUGAGAAUCCCGUAUUUGACCUUUACUUUCAACUUUGUGAUACACUUUCAAAGAGUCGGAUUGUUUGGGAAUGCAGUCCAAAAUGGGUGGUAAAUUUCAUCUAAAGCUAAAUAUUGGCGAGAGACCGAUAGCGAACAAGUACCGUGAGGGAAAGAUGAAAAGAACUUUGAAAAGAGAGUUAAACAGUACGUGAAAUUGUCAAAAGGGAAGCGUUUGACACCAGUGUUGUUUUUCUGAAAAUCAAUUAAAGAACUGUUUAUGCUAAGCUGUUUAGACUUUAUCAGCUAUCUGUUUAGUUUUGAGCUUUUCUUUAAUGCACUUUUCAGUUAACAAGUCAACAUCAAUUUCUUUUGCUGUAAAAAAGCUUGAGGAAGGUGGCUUGAGAUUCGUCUUAAGUGUUUAUAGCCUCUUGCCUAAUGCAGUCGGAGAGAUUGAGGUCUGCAGCGUAGAUCCUUCGGGGCUAAAUGCAUUUGUGCUAAGUUAUAGCAUUUUAUAGACAACUUGUUGACUAUGAUUUGUCUUGUAGCUUACUCGCUUAUGUUAUUUUACCUACGCUUAGGAUGUUGACGCAUGAGAUAUACGC
Molecule: ribosomal RNA, 775 nt
Filed under: uncultured Neocallimastigales
Lineage: Eukaryota; Fungi; Neocallimastigomycota; Neocallimastigomycetes; Neocallimastigales
Description: partial large subunit ribosomal RNA
Rfam family: Eukaryotic large subunit ribosomal RNA
Source: RNAcentral